UUUGUUUACUUAGAAAAAUUGUUCGAAUGUUCGUUUUAAAAGAAAAACAAACACUUAAGAGUUAAAUCUUUUGCAAACAAUAAGAAAGAAUGCUAGUUCGAAUCGUCUCGAAACAUCAAUUUCAUAAAUAAACAUUAAAUAAAGCUAAAGAACAUUGCUGGAAAGUAAAUUGCAUUGAAAUGUAAAGCAGUUACAAGUAAAUGGUUCACAAAACAUACAUUUCUCCUCAGAUAUUCCUUUCGUUCGAACGCUGAGUACUUAGAAUUUUCAGAGAGAGUUUUGUAUAAAAUUUUGUGACCCUUGUUAUGAAUGAAAAACUGCUAUAAAUACUAAAGUGAAGUGGUAACUGCUUCUUGAUCAUCUGGACGUCCUUCGAUCGGCCACGUCGACCCACAUUCUCCACUUUCAAUCUUCACUCCUUCAGCGCGCGCCAAUGCUUAUUGGGCCGUUGCUGUUUCUUUUGGGCCUGACCCAGCUAGCCCUUCGACUCGAUCUGUGCUUUCGACAGGUUCUUGACAAAACUAAACCCAAACGUACCUUUCAAAGUCUUCGAAACCCUCUUCCGUUUCGACAUGAUUGAUACUUCGACACAACAUUUGAAAGUUUUACUUUAACAAUAUAA
This 622-nucleotide long non-coding RNA is filed under the name Trifolium pratense (red clover). RNAcentral's name for it is "long non-coding RNA (TPRA_LNC009941)". The record is from RNAcentral. Lineage: Eukaryota; Viridiplantae; Streptophyta; Magnoliopsida; Fabales; Fabaceae.